ACGGGUGCGUAACGCGUGGGAAUCUGCCCUUGGGUUCGGAAUAACAGUUAGAAAUGACUGCUAAUACCGGAUGAUGUCUUCGGACCAAAGAUUUAUCGCCCAAGGAUGAGCCCGCGUAAGAUUAGCUAGUUGGUGGGGUAAUGGCCCACCAAGGCGACGAUCUUUAGCUGGUCUGAGAGGAUGAUCAGCCACACUGGGACUGAGACACGGCCCAGACUCCUACGGGAGGCAGCAGUGGGGAAUAUUGGACAAUGGGCGAAAGCCUGAUCCAGCAAUGCCGCGUGAGUGAUGAAGGCCUUAGGGUUGUAAAGCUCUUUUACCAGGGAUGAUAAUGACAGUACCUGGAGAAUAAGCUCCGGCUAACUCCGUGCCAGCAGCCGCGGUAAUACGGAGGGAGCUAGCGUUGUUCGGAAUUACUGGGCGUAAAGCGUACGUAGGCGGUUAUUCAAGUCAGAGGUGAAAGCCCGGGGCUCAACCCCGGAACUGCCUUUGAAACUAGAUAGCUAGAGUCUUGGAGAGGUUAGUGGAAUUCCGAGUGUGGAGGUGAAAUUCGUAGA
RNAcentral lists this ribosomal RNA (557 nucleotides) under uncultured Novosphingobium sp. Its description in RNAcentral is "bacterial SSU rRNA". It matches the Rfam family "Bacterial small subunit ribosomal RNA", at positions 102 to 694 of the family's 1533-position model. The record is from RNAcentral. Lineage: Bacteria; Pseudomonadati; Pseudomonadota; Alphaproteobacteria; Sphingomonadales; Sphingomonadaceae.